Molecule: ribosomal RNA, 388 nt
Filed under: uncultured bacterium
Lineage: Bacteria
Description: bacterial SSU rRNA
Rfam family: Bacterial small subunit ribosomal RNA
Source: RNAcentral
AGUGAACGCUGGCGGCAGGCCUAAUACAUGCAAGUCGAACGGCAGCACAGCAGAGCUUGCUCUGUGGGUGGCGAGUGGCGAACGGGUGAGUAAUACAUCGGAACGUACCCAGAAGUGGGGGAUAACGUAGCGAAAGUUACGCUAAUACCGCAUACGACCUACGGGUGAAAGCGGGGGAUCGCAAGACCUCGCGCUAUUGGAGCGGCCGAUAUCAGAUUAGCUUGUUGGUGGGGUAAAAGCCUACCAAGGCGACGAUCUGUAGCUGGUCUGAGAGGACGGACCAGCCACACUGGGACUGAGACACGGGCCCAGACUCCUACGGGAGGCAGCAGUGGGGAAUUUUUGGACAAUGGGGGCAACCCUGAUCCAGCCAUGCCGCGUGCGGGAA